Molecule: ribosomal RNA, 466 nt
Filed under: uncultured bacterium
Lineage: Bacteria
Description: bacterial SSU rRNA
Rfam family: Bacterial small subunit ribosomal RNA
Source: RNAcentral
CACCAGACUCCUACGGGAGGCAGCAGUGAGGAAUAUUGGUCAAUGGGCGGGAGCCUGAACCAGCCAAGUCGCGUGAGGGAAGACGGUCCUACGGAUUGUAAACCUCUUUUGCCGGGGAGCAACGGGGUCCUUGCGAGGGCCCGAUGAGAGUACCCGGAGAAAAAGCAUCGGCUAACUCCGUGCCAGCAGCCGCGGUAAUACGGAGGAUGCGAGCGUUAUCCGGAUUUAUUGGGUUUAAAGGGUGCGUAGGCGGGCUGUUAAGUCAGCGGUAAAAUGUCGGGGCUCAACCCCGGCCUGCCGUUGAAACUGGCUUGCUAGAGUGGGCGAGAAGUAUGCGGAAUGCGUGGUGUAGCGGUGAAAUGCAUAGAUAUCACACAGAACUCCGAUUGCGAAGGCAGCAUACCGGCGCCCAACUGACGCUGAAGCACGAAAGCGUGGGUAUCGAACAGGAUUAGAUACCCUAGUA